Molecule: ribosomal RNA, 403 nt
Filed under: uncultured bacterium
Lineage: Bacteria
Description: partial 16S ribosomal RNA
Rfam family: Bacterial small subunit ribosomal RNA
Source: RNAcentral
AUUGAACGCUGGCGGCAGGCCUAACACAUGCAAGUCGAGCGUGCGGCGGACGGGUGAGUAAUGUAUGGGGACUGCCCGAUAGAGGGGGAUAACAACUGGAAACGGUAGCUAAUACCGCAUAAUAUGGGAUAACCCUUAUGGGAUUAGCUAGUGGGUGAGGUAAUGGCUCACCUAGGCGACGAUCCCUAGCGGAUCUGAGAGGAUGAUCAGCCACACUGGGACUGAGACACGGCCCAGACUCCUACGGAGGCAGCAGUGGGGAAUAUUGCACAAUGGGCGCAAGCCUGAUGCAGCCAUGCCGCGUGUAUGAAGAAGGCCUUAGGGUUGUAAAGUUCUUUCAGUCGAGAAGCGUUACCGACAGAGAAAGCACCGGCUAACUCCGUGCCAGCAGCCGCGGUAAUUC